This 253-nucleotide ribosomal RNA is filed under the name uncultured bacterium. Its description in RNAcentral is "partial 16S ribosomal RNA". It matches the Rfam family "Bacterial small subunit ribosomal RNA", at positions 524 to 776 of the family's 1533-position model. The record is from RNAcentral.
UACGUAGGGGGCAAGCGUUGUCCGGAUUUAUUGGGCGUAAAGAGCGUGUAGGCGGCCGUACAGGUCAGCUGUGAAAACUCGAGGCUCAACCUCGAGACGUCGGUUGAAACCGUACGGCUAGAGUCCGGAAGAGGAGAGUGGAAUUCCCGGUGUAGCGGUGAAAUGCGCAGAUAUCGGGAAGAACACCCGUGGCGAAGGCGGCUCUCUGGGACGGUACUGACGCUGAGGCACGAAAGCGUGGGGAGCAAAAGGG